CACCUCUAGCAAUGGGCAGAGACUCCUUGAUGGUGGUGGUGGUCUUAUAUCAGUCAGGGGCAGAGCAGAUGUCAAUCCUUUGUCUAUCCUAGCUUGUUGUCUGGCUUGGUGGCCAAAGCUGUCUUAUGCCUAGGUCUCAUAA
Molecule: small nucleolar RNA, 142 nt
Organism: Acomys russatus (golden spiny mouse)
Lineage: Eukaryota; Metazoa; Chordata; Mammalia; Rodentia; Muridae
Product: small nucleolar RNA SNORA48
Exons: 1
Source: RefSeq, a predicted model, not a curated record